GACACAUCCUUCUCAACUUUAACACAAUUAAGAGUCUAACUAAUCAGGCUGAGGCAUUUUUUACUCACAUAGAUGCAAAUCAUGUCUGAUCAUCCAUAUGCGACGUAGUUGUUUUUUUAAAACAUUUUGUUUUGAUUUUCUCCCAAAAGACUAAAAAGCAACAAAAAACUUCAACAGCACUUUCUUUGUCUUUGCACGAUGCCUAAAGGAUGAUUUAGAGGCCAUUUUAUUUAACAUUUAGUAACUUUUAAAAUUUAGUAAAUUUAUGAAGCUAACGAGAAUCCCUGAAAUUAUACCUAUUUAUGAUUUUUUUUGUUUUGUUCAAGGUAAUUAAAUCUAAAGUAGCCUAUUUGAAUAACUGUCUAAUCUGUGAAAGGAUAGAAUUGGUUUUAAAGCAUUAUCUUUAUUUGUUUAUAUAUAAAGCAGCAUUUUGCUUUCUCAAAAUUAUUUGCACAUUUUGCCCUUUAAAUAUUGCCCUUAUGUCAUUUUCCUUAAAAGAAUAUUCUGUGUUCAAUACCAGUUAAGCUCAUCAACACCUCGAUCGACAGCAUUUGUGGCAUAAUGUUGAAAAGAUUAUUGUUGAAAAUGUUUUUUGAGAAAACAAACAAUUAUUCCGACUUAAAAAAAAAAAGAGGUUACAGUGAGACACUUACAAUGGAAGUGAAUGGGGUCAAUGUUUGGAGGGUUUUAAGACAAAAAUGUGAAGCUUAUAACUUUAUAAAAGCGCUUAAUUCUUCUGUUUAAACACAUUUCUUGUUUGAGCUGUAAAGUUGUUUCAAUGUAUUUUUUACAGUCAUUUAAUGGUUUGUUGACAUGACAUCAUCAAUGCAACGAAGUUGUAAAAUUGAAUAUAACUUCACACAGAAAAGGAUAGUUUGUGAUUUUAUCACACUAAAGUCUUGUGGCUAUACUUUUAUAACUGAGUAUUUUAAUGUUUAUAGAUGGGCCCAUUGACUUCCAUUGUAAGUGCCUCACUGGAACUUCAAUUUUUGCUAUUUUUAAAGGAAGGGAGGAACGAGUCGAAAUAAAUGUAAGGAAUAUUACUUUAAGGGGUGCCUUUAGCCCCAUUGAACUGCUUAAAAAAUAAUAGGCUAGUUGCCAUAUAGGUAGGCUACUUCAGUCUACCACAUACAAACGUUCAGAAUUUUUGCAAUUUGCAAAGAGGAUGCACAUCAUCAAACCCGUUAACUGCGCUUAACCCAUUUCCAAGUGACUAUCUUUCUAGAGGGGAGGAUAGUGGACAGCAGCUGGCGGGGGAGGGGGUCUCUGGUCCAGCGGAACAGCCGUUGUCGCUCCUCUAAUCACCUCCGAGGGUCACAGAGCAUCCUCCGCAUCAUUCGGGCCCGCUGCUCUGCCUUGCAGAGACGCAAACAUGCUGGACGUCUUGCUAUUGAUGUUCUUUGCCAUCAUGGGGCUUGUGUUCCUCUCUUACAUCAUCUACAUGCUUUAAACACGGCAGGAUCAAUGGACCGCCGUGAGAGCGUGAUUCACGUCCUCGAGAGGGAUCUGAGGGAUCACAAAGGUUGGCGAUAUGAUGAUAUUGACGUCUUCGACCUUCGCAUCUUACUGUUCUUUCAGCAUCUCCAGACAUCUGCGUGUUCCGGUUACCGGAGGAAGCUUUGUUUGUAGCACCAAGCCUCGGGACUCUGAGAUGAUGAACAGCUCUGAUGUCAAAUAACAGGAAGACGCAGGACACAUUUACAAGAUGAAACAUCACCCCUCCUUCUCCUCAUCCCUCUUUCAAUCUGUUCUUAUAACCUUUGAUAAUAUGUAUCUUCAUGCAAAAGAAAUAUCAUAGCACUUAACACAACAUAACAACCCCUCAUUUUUUCUCUUUUUACUUAAGACAGUUUUCUUUUUAUAGAAGAUACUAUUAGCAUAUAGAUGACACUAAUAAAGGUUCUGUAAGCAAUGUUAGCCAUUCUGGAACUUCCACAAGACUGAGCCGUUAAAGUUGACAUGCCCCCUUCCAAAACACAGUUCAUCUUCUCACGGUUAUCAAACACAACUGUAGCAAAAUAGCACCCUUAUCUGACAACUGUUAUGAAUCUGAAUGUGACAUUAAACUGGAAAUUCUCAUACUUGUUCUCAUACUACACAAUGAGAACGUGCAAAAUGAUUGACAGGCACAUCAAAGUCUUCUGAUUGGCUGAUCAAAGAAUGGGUCUGUUUACACAGCAAAACAGUCCAGUGCUGUCUCAGAGACCGUGAGAAAUCUCAGGACACUUAUUUCAAUGAUAUCUUUAAUGGAUGAGGAACAAUUUCUUCAUACCAUUCCAGUGAAAAUCACUUAUAGCCCCUUUAAUACAAUAUUUUAACGUUAUAUAUCCCAAAGAUGUCUGAAACACUCCCUAAACUAUUAUACUUUGGUUAACAAUCGAUGCUGUUUGACUAUAAAUAAAACAGUAUGCACUAUUUGUCUGUCUAUAGCCUAUUUAAUUUUGAAUUCCUUCAAAUAAUUGUUUGAAUAAUAUAGUAUUACUGACACUAGUUUUAAAUGGAUGUAUUGUAAGUCUAUGGAUACUUGCAAAUAACUGAAUCUGAUUUUCAGAAUAAAGAGUAUUUGUAAUGAUGAAACUGUCUCAACCAUAUGGAUAGGGGGUAUAGCUCAGUGGUAGAGCAUUUGACUGCAGAUCAAGAGGUCCCCGGUUCAAAUCCGGAUGCCCCCUACAGGGUUUUUGCUGAAAAUACACCAAUUCAACAGGAAAGAAUAGAUAUGUCGAGACCAUGAAAAAUGAAGACGCAUUUAAACG
Long non-coding RNA from Xyrauchen texanus (razorback sucker), 2753 nucleotides. RefSeq lists it as uncharacterized. The record is from RefSeq and is a predicted model, not a curated record. Lineage: Eukaryota; Metazoa; Chordata; Actinopteri; Cypriniformes; Catostomidae. The transcript has 3 exons.